GAUGAACGCUGGCGGCGUGCCUAAUACAUGCAAGUCGAGCGAAUGGAUUAAGAGCUUGCUCUUAUGAAGUUAGCGGCGGACGGGUGAGUAACACGUGGGUAACCUGCCCAUAAGACUGGGAUAACUCCGGGAAACCGGGGCUAAUACCGGAUAACAUUUUGAACCGCAUGGUUCGAAAUUGAAAGGCGGCUUCGGCUGUCACUUAUGGAUGGACCCGCGUCGCAUUAGCUAGUUGGUGAGGUAACGGCUCACCAAGGCAACGAUCCGUAGCCGACCUGGGAGGGUGAUCGGCCACACUGGGACUGAGACACGGCCCAGACUCCUACGGGAGGCAGCAGUAGGGAAUCUUCCGCAAUGGACGAAAGUCUGACGGAGCAACGCCGCGUGAGUGAUGAAGGCUUUCGGGUCGUAAAACUCUGUUGUUAGGGAAGAACAAGUGCUAGUUGAAUAAGCUGGCACCUUGACGGUACCUAACCAGAGAGCCACGGCUAACUACGUGCCAGCCGCCGCAGUAA
Molecule: ribosomal RNA, 515 nt
Filed under: uncultured bacterium
Lineage: Bacteria
Description: partial 16S ribosomal RNA
Rfam family: Bacterial small subunit ribosomal RNA
Source: RNAcentral